Molecule: ribosomal RNA, 524 nt
Filed under: uncultured bacterium
Lineage: Bacteria
Description: partial 16S ribosomal RNA
Rfam family: Bacterial small subunit ribosomal RNA
Source: RNAcentral
GACGAAUGCUGGCGGCGUGCCUAAUACAUGCAAGUCGAACGAAGCUGUUUUAACUGGUGCUUGCACCGACUUAAACAACUGAGUGGCGAACGGGUGAGUAACACGUGGGUAACCUGCCCCAAAGCGGGGGAUAACAUUUGGAAACAGAUGCUAAUACCGCAUAACCACAGAAACCACAUGGUUUCUGUGUCAAAGAUGGUUUCGGCUAUCACUUUGGGAUGGACUCGCGGCGUAUUAGCUAGUUGGUAAGGUAAUGGCUUACCAAGGCAAUGAUACGUAGCCGAACUGAGAGGUUGAUCGGCCACAUUGGGACUGAGACACGGCCCAAACUCCUACGGGAGGCAGCAGUAGGGAAUCUUCCACAAUGGACGAAAGUCUGAUGGAGCAACGCCGCGUGAGUGAAGAAGGUUUUCGGAUCGUAAAACUCUGUUGUCAGAGAAGAACGUGUGCGAGAGUAACUGCUCGUGCAGUGACGGUAUCUGGCCAGAAAGCCACGGCUAACUACGUGCCAGCAGCCGCCGUAA